Polyodon spathula (Mississippi paddlefish) is the source of this 713-nucleotide long non-coding RNA. RefSeq lists it as uncharacterized. Lineage: Eukaryota; Metazoa; Chordata; Actinopteri; Acipenseriformes; Polyodontidae. The record is from RefSeq and is a predicted model, not a curated record. The transcript is spliced from 3 exons.
UUAAAAUCGUGUUAUACGUAUUCACAGUCACCAUAUACAGCGUUCUGUUUCUUAUGGAUGUUUGCGUUUUACUGCAUUCACUAACUGCAUCCACAGUAAUUCUGAAUGUUUUCAAUUCAAAUGAUGAAGUACUGAACUUGUGUUUUUGUGUCACGGCGAUUGUUUGGUAUAAUUAUUUACAUACCACCUUUUUCUAGUAUAAAAAAAGCGUCAGAACCUCGUUUCGACAGACCCAUAACCCGCCCACUACAGCAUGAACACGCAGAGCACCAAUGAAGCGCCAGAUCGACCAAGAAUAAAACCCGCCCCACUGUCAAUUUUUCUGUUGCACCAAUUAGAAAACCUACUUGAAGGCAAUUGUCAAUCCUCUUCCUUUUUAUAUCCGCCCUUACUGUGGCACAGUUGGAUACGCGACAGACUGCUGUCUAUGGUGAUUCAACCUCCCCAAGCUGUCAGAUCGCAUAUCUGAAGCCCCAGCUGUUUUCAGUUAUGUUUCUUGGGCUGUUGUGUGAUAUAUCAUCGCCUGCACCUGGACCAGGAAGGUCAGGUUUCUGGAAGACGGGACCACUUCAGCAGUAUUGAGAAUGUCACACAAAUAACCAGCACAGUAAGACACAGCCAUGUGUGCAGAUUGGGGGUGAACAGCAUGUUUUUUUCCUCCAGUGUUUAUGGUGAGAUAACCAACAGGAUCCGGAGCUGCAGCCGCAGGCCAG